Molecule: ribosomal RNA, 253 nt
Filed under: uncultured bacterium
Lineage: Bacteria
Description: partial 16S ribosomal RNA
Rfam family: Bacterial small subunit ribosomal RNA
Source: RNAcentral
UACGUAGGGGGCAAGCGUUGUUCGGAUUUACUGGGCGUAAAGGGUGUGUAGGCGGUUAUGCAAGUCGAAUGUGAAAUACCUUGGCUCAACCAAGGAAGUGCAUUCGAAACUAUAUAGCUAGAGUUCGGGAGAGGAGAGCGGAAUUCUCGGUGUAGCGGUGAAAUGCGUGGAGAUCGAGAAGAACACCAGCGGUGAAAACGGCUCUCUAGACCGGUACUGACGCUUAGGCACGAAAGCGUGGGGAGCGAACGGG